UCCGGUAACUCUUUUGCAUUUUGAGAGCCAGAGCCGGAUCAUUUUUAAAUCGAAAUCAAACUGAAUAUUUCAUGUUGGUCGUUUCCGUUAUAGAUACCGGGAAUAUUUGACGUCAUUCUAACGAGACUAUAAUAUCUGACAUCUGCGGUUUUAGCAGCUAUUUUAGAUGGUAAAUUGAAAAUUUCUCAAGACGAAUUGUCGACAGAGAAAAUGUUACCGAAAGCGGGCGAGACCGUAUUAACUGGAAAAACAGCAACGACGUUAUGUGGAUGGAUCCAGACGAUCCGACGGAUACAUGACAACGAAAACUAGGAAAUUUACACGGCAGUAAUAUUCAAACUUGUCCUAUCUACCCCCGUGGCAACUGUUCUUCGCGAAACAUCGUUUUACCCAUGUCAAAACGUGACUAUGAAACAAGAUAUCGA
Molecule: non-coding RNA, 425 nt
Organism: Cinara cedri
Lineage: Eukaryota; Metazoa; Arthropoda; Insecta; Hemiptera; Aphididae
Source: the annotation of a GenBank genome assembly